GCCACCUAGGUUUACCUUUAAUGAUUUCUAAUUUUUGAUCACUUCUAUUCAAAGCCAUCUUAUGAGUCAGUCCCAAUCCAUAGCCUUUAGUAACGGCUAGCUCCAUUGUCGUCACCAUAGCUACACAUUCAGCAUGAUAACUUGAAUCUAAUCCCAGGUUCUGACAAGCCACCAUCACAAAAUCACUACAAUGAUUUCUGAAAACAAUGCCAAUCCAUGCACCAGUUGAAGAAGUAGCACCAUCUGUGUUUGCCUUCAAAACCUGGUACAAGGGGGGAACCCAUUGACACUCUCUGACAGAAAACUGUGCUCCAAACCUUGGCUCCACAUUCCAUUCCCCAAGAAUAUCCAGCUCAAGUGCAUUAUUGUAGUUAACUUAGCCGACAAUAUCACAUGCUUGGAGAUAAUCUUAGUACAUAGCCCAAGACUAACUCUAGCAUUAUUUAACGCCAUAUCAUUUCUUAGUUGCCAAAUAGAAGCCAUACCACUCACCACAACAACUUUCCACAUAAGUUUGAUCAAUGGACUCCAUGAAUUAUUGAGAUGCAUUGCUUCCCCUAAAUUAUGCAAGCCACCAUUCAAUCGAAACUUUCAUCUUGCCCACUGCCACACUCUCUGAGAGAGAGGACAUAACCAUAUCACAUUAUCAAGUGAAUCUGGGCCAUUAAAACAAAAUCUGCAGCAAGACGCCAACUUCACACCGACGGUCUGAGAUCUAGUUUUGGAUGCUACGACAUUUCUUACUAAUUUCC
This 752-nucleotide long non-coding RNA is filed under the name Aquilegia coerulea. RNAcentral describes it as "long non-coding RNA (ACOE_LNC000438)". The record is from RNAcentral. Lineage: Eukaryota; Viridiplantae; Streptophyta; Magnoliopsida; Ranunculales; Ranunculaceae.